This 484-nucleotide ribosomal RNA is filed under the name uncultured bacterium. RNAcentral describes it as "partial 16S ribosomal RNA". It matches the Rfam family "Bacterial small subunit ribosomal RNA", at positions 30 to 507 of the family's 1533-position model. The record is from RNAcentral.
AUUGAACGCUGGCGGCAGGCCUAACACAUGCAAGUCGAGCGGAUGAAGGGAGCUUGCUCCUGGAUUCAGCGGCGGACGGGUGAGUAAUGCCUAGGAAUCUGCCUGGUAGUGGGGGAUAACGUCCGGAAACGGGCGCUAAUACCGCAUACGUCCUGCGGGAGAAAGUGGGGGAUCUUCGUACCUCACGCUAUCAGAUGAGCCUACGUCGGAUUAGCUAGUUGGUGGGGUAAAGGCCUACCAAGGCGACGAUCCGUAACUGGUCUGAGAGGAUGAUCAGUCACAAGGGAACUGAGAAACGGUCCAGACUCCUACGGGAGGCAGCAGUGGGGAAUAUUGGACAAUGGGCGAAAGCCUGAUCCAGCCAUGCCGCGUGUGUGAAGAAGGUCUUCGGAUUGUAAAGCACUUUAAGUUGGGAGGAAGGGCAGUAAGUUAAUACCUUGCUGUUUUGACGGUACCAACAGAAUAAGCACCGGCUAACUUAGUG